GCCGUGGUGGCUCAGUGGUUGAGCAUUGACCUAUGAACCAAGAGGUCACGGUUCGAUUCCUGGUCAGGGCA
This is a non-coding RNA of Myotis lucifugus (little brown bat), 71 nucleotides long. Lineage: Eukaryota; Metazoa; Chordata; Mammalia; Chiroptera; Vespertilionidae. The record is from Rfam.